AUAGCAGAACAUCGUUGGCCCAAUCUUACAUUAUGGUUGUAUUAUCGCUGUUGGGUUACCUUUAUUGGGCCAACGGUGGUCCAACAUGGAAUAUUGAUAGUUGGUUAUGUAUAAUGGGGCCAAUGUUGGGCUAACUGUUGGCGUUAUAUCAUUAAACUAUUAUUAUGAGAGAAAACAUUUGUUGGGGGAUUGGUAUCGGCCCCAAGUUGGCCCAAUAUACCAUGAAUCUGGCUGAGCAUCAUGGGCAGACAACAUCCGGGCUACUUGUAAUAUCCGCGCCAUUUUUAAUCUGACACGAACGUAAUGAGACUGAUACCUUGCAUAUCUGCAUCCACUUUUGCUACUGGAGAUUCUAAAAAGACAUUGAGAACACAAUCAAAGAAUGGCUAAGGUAUGCCUAGGACAGGGAUGGGGGAGGAAGAAACGGACAGAGAAGAAAAGAAGGCGGAGGAGGAGACUCGGGAGAGAGAAGAGGAGACUUAGGAGAGGGAUCAGAUGGAAAGUGGCAGUGCCUAACUUUUUUCUGUUAUAUACUGUGACAUACCAGUAGAUCUACCCUUUUCUGUGUCUGUUUGUCGGUAACAAACACGAUGCAGAUGCCAGAAACAUUUUUUUGUGUAAGUAAA
Long non-coding RNA from Saccostrea echinata, 626 nucleotides. RefSeq lists it as uncharacterized. NCBI's taxonomy places the organism in Eukaryota, Metazoa, Mollusca, Bivalvia, Ostreida, Ostreidae. The record is from RefSeq and is a predicted model, not a curated record. The transcript is spliced from 2 exons.